RNA transcript from Cephus cinctus (wheat stem sawfly), 2334 nucleotides. It is a transcript of the gene named RING finger protein 121, with no coding region annotated. The transcript is spliced from 8 exons. The record is from RefSeq and is a predicted model, not a curated record. Lineage: Eukaryota; Metazoa; Arthropoda; Insecta; Hymenoptera; Cephidae.
AAGGAUUGCUGACUGCUUAAAUGCACUGCAUAGAUGUGAAGUUCGGUUGCCGACGUGUGUAAAACAGGGUGCCUGCACUCUGUCAUUUUGUUGGAUGGUGCCUUCAUUCUGAGGAAUAAUCAAAUAAAUCAAUCAGUAUGGACAUUCAUAUUAUGCCAAAUAAGAGUGAAGGAGAAUUAACACCAGAGGAAAGAUGGAGAUUGGAACACAUAAAGAUGCAUGAGCAACAUCUAGGCCACGAGUCGAUGCAUGCUGAAAUGUUGCUCAUAUUAUUGGCAACAUUGAUUAUUGCUCAGAUUGUUUUAGUAAAAUGGAAGAUAAAGCACUAUAAAUCUUACCAGUUUGUAACAUUAAUAGCGUUAUGGAUAAUUCCAUUAGGUAUAUCAUCCAAAAACCGUUGGUGGCGAUUUAUAUUCCUUUGGCUAUUAUUUUCGUGUAUAACAGGAUUAGUAGUGCGAAAAGCCUUACAACAUCCAAUAAAAGGCACAACACCAAGAUUAGUUUACAAAUGGUUCUAUCUUAUUUACAUUCUGAGCUACAUACUGGGCAUUAUUGGUUAUUGCAUAAUGAUAGCUACACUCUUUGGCCUAAAUCUCGUGUUCGACGUAACGUCCCACGUAUGGAUGGAUUGUGGUAUAUUGUUCCUAUUUUAUGGACUCUACUUUGGCGUCUUGGGUCGUGACGUCGCUGAGAUAUGUGCCGACAAAAUGGCAUCCCAUAUUGGGUACUAUACACCAGAUAGCAUGCCAACCAGGACGUUGGAUCCAAGUGUAUGCGCGGUGUGCGGCAACAAGCUCCUAGUCUCUGAACAUGAGGAAGGCGUUAUCGAGAACACGUACAAGCUUAGCUGCGAGCACGUCUUUCACGAAUUUUGUAUCAGAGGCUGGUGUAUCGUAGGCAAGAAGCAGACGUGCCCGUACUGCAAGGAGAAAGUCGACCUCAAGAAAAUGUUCCGCAAUCCAUGGGAGCGGCCGCACGUUCUUUACGGACACGUGCUAGAUUGGUUAAGAUGGUUGGUCGCAUGGCAGCCAUUGAUACUGCUUCUAGUUCAGGGUAUCAAUUGGGCCCUAGGCCUCGAGUAAGUAUUAUAGAGGGUAUAGGUUCGCGACAAACACAACUAAAGUUAGCCUGUCCAUUUGAUCUCUAUGGUAGAAUCAUCUUCAGGUGGUACGUUUGUCGUGAAUAACCCUGUAUAAUAUUGCCUUCAUUGAAUAUAAGAAGCAGAAGCGUAGAGUACACUGCGCCAUAAUUGCAUCAGGAAUGGUUCCCUGUUUACCUGAACACUGUUAUUUGUGUAUCUUUAUACAUACAAAUAUUAGCGACAUUUUUUGUCGUUCCUAAUGGAACUUUCCAAGUGAGAACUAACUGAGAAUAUCUCAGAUUUGACUUCAUCGCGGGGACAUUAAUGUGUUAUCCAGUUUUUGUGAUAAUUAUUGUUCCCUUAUUAUUUUAUCCUUGCCACUCUUUGGUACCUAGUGCAUCGUUACUUUCCACUUAAACAAUUUUGUCUUAUUUAAUAUCUUCCUAUCUAGGUUUAUAAAUAAUGAUCGCAUCCACCAAUUGACUAUUGUUUGUACGUUAAUCUUUGACAAUUGUAUUUGGAAAUGGUUUUAUAGGUAUAAAACUAUGCACUGGCACCAUUGAUUAUGAUAUAUGUUACAGGUAUGUUGCUGUACAUAUGUCAUUACUUUGUUUUUCGUUUUUGUUUUGUUGACUUAACGGUCCAGUGGUGCGAGUGGUAGCUAAUUAAAAUAUGUUUGAUCGUGAAUAAUUUAUUAUAUUCAAUCGAUCUCUCAGAUGUAUAUGCAAUCAUCGAUAUUAUCCGUUCCUAUGGAUACCACUUAUUAUAAUAUGAACAUUUUACUUAGAUUUCUCACAUAAGGACAACAAAAAAUUUAAUGCCAGCUCCAAGCGCUUAAACAGAUCAGGAAAUGACAGCCAGUAGGUCUCCUGUAGUAUUUAAAAUAACAAAGUAAGAGAAGUUACCCUAGAGACUCUUCCCCUGGAGAGGGGUACGUAUUACGAAGAUUUUUGCGAAUGAAGAAAUCAAGUACUCAAUCCAGUAGCCUGAGAAACGUUUGAGCAUCCCGAUACGAAUCACCCAGAAUGGGACUGUGACGACUGAAUAAUUACCAAACCGAGUGCUAACAAACGAGGGACUACAGUAAAUAUAAAUAGACAGAGAGUGAUACACAGGAAUCUCAGGAAGAUAUCGGAGCCCACGUUUUCCAAGCAGAAGUGAUGGGAUUAACGAGAACAGGAUGUAUUUAAUUGUCAGAGGUAUUAAUAAUAAAUGAUUUAUCCAUCGAAAUGGGCACUUGGUAGGAACGACAA